RNAcentral lists this transfer RNA (71 nucleotides) under Marmota monax (woodchuck). RNAcentral's name for it is "tRNA.Ala". The record is from RNAcentral. Lineage: Eukaryota; Metazoa; Chordata; Mammalia; Rodentia; Sciuridae.
GGGGAUGCGGCUCAGUGGUAGAGUGCUCACGUUGCGCGUGUGCGGCCCUGGGUUCGAUUCUCAGCACCACA